ACGUGUAGGGCACUGCCCUCCACACUGCCCAGCUGCAUUCCUGUAAAUUGGUUAUCGGAUUGGUAUCAGCUGAAAUGGCUGGGUAAUAAUUGGCUAUUGUUAUCAGCCAUAAAAAAGUCUUUACUGGUGCACUCCAACAAUUUCCAUAAGUGCUUAUGCCUGGUAGGCACACAGAGGUUUUCCUUCAAGUGAGGCAGAAUUUCCCUAUAUGUACCCUAUAUGUACCAACAAGUUCCUUACAAGUCAGUGGUAUUAUAAAGAACUUGCUCCACAAACAUGUAUGGAAAUGUGAGGCCAGAGUCAAAAGUUCUUGGUACUCUAUAGUUUAGGUCAUUCGCAGCGGGAGCUGUGGGACACUGAAUAUUUUUGAAAAUCUGACCACAGGUGCCCAUAAAAAUAGCUCACAAUGAUGAGCAUCUGUUCAUAAAAGAAGAGUAUGACUGAAAUGCAAUAAAACCAGAAUGAGUGACAAUCCCUGUAUAGCUUGAUUUCUUUUUUUUUUUUUUCUUUCAUCAGAGAUAGGGAAGAUCACACAUAGACAAGUAUUCUAGAGGGGCUAGAAAAAAUGAUAAACCAUGCAUGGGAGCAUGUAGGAAUAACAUGCAUUAUUGAUAUAAAAAGGAGAGAAAUGACAGCAGAAGGUUGUCCUUGGCGAGACAAUCUGGUUAGCCAAAAGAUGCAGUGAGAAGUACACGGGCCUGAACAGUUGCUUGCACCAAAAGGCUUAAUUCUCAGAAAUCAAUGGGACAUCUGUGUAUAACAACUGGUGAACCAUUUUCUAGUCCACCCUAAAAAUAAAUGUACAUAUUACAAAGACAACAUACAGAGGUUUUCAACAAAUGCAAGAACAUCUUCCUAAUGUUAUACUAAUAAAAGCAACAUUCUCUCUUCUUUUUAAUUGUGCCUGAAUGCACUAUUAAUUUCAAUCUAACUCACUUCUGAGGCUAUAAUUAAAAUGACUUAAGGCUACAUUAAAAAAAAAAAA
Molecule: long non-coding RNA, 985 nt
Organism: Gavialis gangeticus (Gharial)
Lineage: Eukaryota; Metazoa; Chordata; Crocodylia; Gavialidae
Exons: 2
Source: RefSeq, a predicted model, not a curated record